CGCGGGGUGGAGCAGUUCGGUAGCUCGUCGGGCUCAUAACCCGGAGGUCGUAGGUUCGAAUCCUACCCCCGCAACCA
This 77-nucleotide transfer RNA is filed under the name Salibacterium qingdaonense. Its description in RNAcentral is "tRNA_Met_CAT". It matches the Rfam family "tRNA". Rfam says of the family: Transfer RNA (tRNA) molecules are approximately 80 nucleotides in length. Their secondary structure includes four short double-helical elements and three loops (D, anti-codon, and T loops). The record is from RNAcentral. RNAcentral also lists the same sequence under 2 other names. Lineage: Bacteria; Bacillati; Bacillota; Bacilli; Caryophanales; Bacillaceae.